CUUAGAGGGACUAUGACCGUUUAUGCCAAGGAAGUUUGAGGCAAUAACAGUUCUGUGAUGCCCUUAGAUGUUCUGGGCCGCACGCGCGCUACACUGAUAUAUUCAACGAGUUCACACCUUGGCGACAGGCUCGGGUAAUCUUUGAAAUUUCAUCGUGAUGGGGAUAGAUAAUUGCAAUUGUUGGUCUUCAACGAGGAAUUCCUAGUAAGCGCGAGUCAUCAGCUCGCAUUGACUACGUCCCUGCCCUUUGUACACACCGCCCGUCACUCCUACCGAUUGAAUGAUCCGGUGAAGUGUUCGGAUCGCAGCGACGUGGGUGGUUUGCUGUCUGUGACGUCACGAGAAGUCCACUAAACCUUAUCAUUUAUAGGAAGGAGAAUUCGUAACAAGGUUUCCGUAGGUGAACCUGCAGAAGGAUCAUUG
This 423-nucleotide non-coding RNA is filed under the name Brassica napus (rape). Its description in RNAcentral is "Eukaryotic small subunit ribosomal RNA". It matches the Rfam family "Eukaryotic small subunit ribosomal RNA", at positions 1410 to 1831 of the family's 1831-position model. The record is from Rfam by way of RNAcentral. Lineage: Eukaryota; Viridiplantae; Streptophyta; Magnoliopsida; Brassicales; Brassicaceae.